Molecule: ribosomal RNA, 238 nt
Filed under: uncultured bacterium
Lineage: Bacteria
Description: partial 16S ribosomal RNA
Rfam family: Bacterial small subunit ribosomal RNA
Source: RNAcentral
GCGGUGAAAUGCGUAGAUAUCAGGAGGAACACCUGUGGUGUAGACAGCUUACUGGACCACGACUGACGCUGAGACACGAAAGCGUGGGUAGCAAACAGGAUUAGAUACCCUGGUAGUCCACGCCCUAAACGAUGCAUACUUGGUGUGAGCCAUUCAUUUGGUUCGUGCCGGAGCUAACGCGUUAAGUAUGCCGCCUGGGGAGUACGGUCGCAAGGCUGAAACUCAAAUGAAUUGACGG